RNAcentral lists this transfer RNA (75 nucleotides) under Candidatus Onthoplasma faecigallinarum. RNAcentral describes it as "tRNA-Glu". It matches the Rfam family "tRNA". Rfam says of the family: Transfer RNA (tRNA) molecules are approximately 80 nucleotides in length. Their secondary structure includes four short double-helical elements and three loops (D, anti-codon, and T loops). Lineage: Bacteria; Bacillati; Bacillota; Clostridia; Christensenellales; Christensenellaceae. The record is from RNAcentral.
GGCCCUAUAGUCUAGAGGUUAGGACGUGGCCCUCUCACGGCUAAGACUGGGGUUCGAUUCCCCAUAGGGCUACCA